CAGGGGGUAUUUUAUUUAAAAUGUUAAUUUUGGGGAUUAAUGAAAUGGCAUUUGUGCUUUUCCUCUGA
This 68-nucleotide transfer RNA is filed under the name Reticulitermes flaviceps. RNAcentral's name for it is "tRNA-Pro". Lineage: Eukaryota; Metazoa; Arthropoda; Insecta; Blattodea; Rhinotermitidae. RNAcentral also lists the same sequence under 5 other names. The record is from RNAcentral.